RNA transcript from Choloepus didactylus (southern two-toed sloth), 2546 nucleotides. It is a transcript of the gene named lysine-rich arabinogalactan protein 19-like, with no coding region annotated. The transcript is spliced from 3 exons. NCBI's taxonomy places the organism in Eukaryota, Metazoa, Chordata, Mammalia, Pilosa, Megalonychidae. The record is from RefSeq and is a predicted model, not a curated record.
CAGGACGGGUGAGGGUCCUUCCCUGGUGGAGAGAAGAGGCAGGAGUGGGGGGAAAGUGAGGGCGCCAGCCCUGUCAUCCAAGCCGGGACAGGAGACUUCUUUUGGGUCUUAUUGGGAUCUUACUUUGGAUCACUCUGGCUUGGGAAGUACUCAGCGUGGUUGGACUGUGCACUGUGUUUUUGGAAAGAGAUGGGAGGGAGUGUGGUCUGGUACGUGUCCUGUCAUUUCAAGAGACCCCAGAUCUUUUACCGCAGGCCAUAGGGCGGUCCUGGUGCCCCCAGAGUCACAGCAGGUUGUCAGGCUGGCUUUUCUUUGUGGACCUGCCCUGCUUUUCCCCCAGACAUGUUCCGGCUUCUGAGCUGCAGAGCUUCAGUCUCCCAGCUACACAAUGAAUGAAUGGAUGGAUGGAUGGAUGGAUGGAUGGAUGGAUGGAGUGAAUGAUUGAAUGCAUGCGUAUAAAUGAGGUCAUUGCAUUUAUCCUCAUUAGACCGGGGGUACGCAUAUAAAAACCUCCAUUUUCUCGCCUGGGAUGGAGACACUCAGCUGCCUCCUCCCUCGUUGACUCAUUCAGCAUUCUUCCUUGAGUGGGUGCAGAUGCAGUGCUCAAAAGAAACACACCUGCUGUGACUGGUGAGGCUUAGCUGAGAACACAGGAAAAAAAAAAACACAUGCAAACAAACCACGACCUUUGUUUUGAAGUAGCCAGUUGUAUCUAAUUCUUGAAGAAAUAGGCGGCAUGAUAUAGGAAGUGACAAAGGCAAGGGAGCUUGAGUGGGUGGCAUUCUGGACAUCAUGACACACUGCUCAAGUUCUGACGUAAAGCCUUUGGCCAGUUUGAGAAUAGGAAGAAGCCAUGGAAAGGAGGGUGGAGGUGAGGGAGAUGAGAGGGGCAGGGAAGGCUACAGAUCAUGGGGGAGAAGAGAUAAGAGGGCUGGGUGUUUUGCUAAAUGAAAGGAGGAUCCAGUGUUAUUCUCAAGUCCAGAUCCAUGUUUUAUAGCUCACCAUGGUGAUGCUGGUGGGAGCCUCUGUGGAGGAGGGGAGAACCCUGAGCAGGCAAGACUGUCUAGGAGAGCCACAGAGGUGGACAGACGGGGGAGGUAUCAUGGUGUUGUCAGGUUGCAGGAGGUUCAGGUGUGGGGCAAGAGGGAAAGAGUGGCUGGAGGAAACUGAAACAAGUAGUUACCUAUUGCUACAUUAAAAAUUACUCCAAGUAUGGGAUUAUUUGGUUGUUUUUUUAUUUUAAUUUUUAUUUUGUAGUAAUGAAAAUGUUCUAAUAUUGAUUGUAGUGAUGUAUGCACAACUGCAUGAUGAUAUUGUGAGCCACUGAUUGUAUACUUUGGAUGGUUUGUAUGGUGUGUGAAUAUAUGUCCAUAAAAUUGCAUUAAAAAUUACCCCCAAACUUAAUGGCUCUAAACAAUUAAUAUUUAUCAUUUCGUAUUUACUGUGGUGUAGCUGAGUGUUUCUGGUUCUAGAGCCUCUCAUAAGGUUACCCUCAAAAAUAUUGUCUUGGGUGGCUUCAAUGGGUCUGGAGGAUCCUGUCACAAGAUGGAUCUCUCACUUGGAAGGAGGCCUCAUUUCCCCCUUGACUGCACCCAAGGAUCCCAGAGACAAUUUGAAGACCUAGGGGUAGCUUCCUUGACUGCUGCUCAGAGGGGCUCUGCUUGGCCAUGGGAUACCCAUGGGAGAAAAGAGUCUCCUGGGAGCUGAGCUGUCACCUGCACAGCCCCUACCUGUCCUGGACGGAACCACCACCAUUGGCUACUCAUAGAGUUUUGCAAAGUAUCACUCUGGUUUCGGGGUGACGGUGAAGGUGAAGGCUUCAUUGGCAGGAGGGCUUCAUAUGGAGAAUGAUAAGCAGAGACAGAACCUACCUACAGCAGGACAGAAAAAUCCCCGGCCCCCUCCGCCCCCGGCCGUGCCCACCGCGGCUCCCCGCGCCCUCCCCCGCCGCCCGCACUCGCUGCUCCCCCGCUCGAGGCGCCCUGAGCACACCGGGGCCGCCCAGAGAGACCCGGAAACGCGGGGAAACGGCUGCCUCGGGCACGGGCGGCGGCGCCCACGGCGAGAAUCUGCAGCAGCAGCAGCAGCACGGACACUGCUCGGGGGCAGCGCCCACCCAGGACACUGAGCCGUCACCGCUCGCUCCGCUGCUGACACCUGCAGCAAGAUCGGCCGCCAUCGCCAGGUGAGGACGGGAGAAGGCCGGGGCUGCAGCCAGCGGGGCAUCCAAGGUGGAUGGUGGUGAUGGGAGCACAGCAUUGUGCAUACAAUUAACACCUCUGCAGAUUUCAAAGUGGGCAAAUGGGAAAUUUUAUAUUACAUAUAUGGCAUCACAAUAAAAUAAUAAACAAAGCAAAACAAAAAGCAUCGACCUGUGCAACAAAGUGAACUCUAAUGUAAACCAUGGAUUUAGCUAAUAAUUAUAAUAUUAAUAACCGGGGAAAACUGCAUGUGUGAGGAGGGUAUAAGGAAACUGUGCUCUGCAUGAUUUUUCUGUAAACCUACAAAUGCUCUGAAAAAAAAAAAUGAAUUAAAACUGAGCUACA